CCUGCCCCUAGAAAUGUGUCUGUGUAGCUGCUGUGUCACAUGUGCAUCAGUAGGUGGCAGAGAGGAGAGAGGCUACGUUUGUAUUAAGUGUUCCAACCUAUGAACAUCUGAAUUGACUAGAAGCCUAACAGU
Small nucleolar RNA from Mastomys coucha (southern multimammate mouse), 132 nucleotides. RefSeq annotates it as small nucleolar RNA SNORA17. The transcript has a single exon. The record is from RefSeq and is a predicted model, not a curated record. Lineage: Eukaryota; Metazoa; Chordata; Mammalia; Rodentia; Muridae.